Molecule: unclassified non-coding RNA, 198 nt
Filed under: fungal sp.
Lineage: Eukaryota; Fungi
Description: partial internal transcribed spacer region
Rfam family: Eukaryotic small subunit ribosomal RNA (bases 1-46)
Source: RNAcentral
AAGUCGUAACAAGGUAUCCGUAGGUGAACCUGCGGAUGGAUCAUUACCAAAGGAUUUAAUCCCAAGGUUUUGUGAACUGUAUUGAACACAAACGGUCAGAGGUUCUUCGGGACUUCUGGCUGUACACUAAACCUCAUACCCUUAACUUACAUCAAAUCAUAAACUUUACAACUUUUAGCAAUGGAUCUCUUGGCUCUC